RNAcentral lists this ribosomal RNA (369 nucleotides) under uncultured bacterium. Its description in RNAcentral is "bacterial SSU rRNA". It matches the Rfam family "Bacterial small subunit ribosomal RNA", at positions 94 to 479 of the family's 1533-position model. The record is from RNAcentral.
ACCGGCGCACGGGUGCGUAACGCGUAUGCACCUACCUUCUACAGGGGGAUAGUCGAUAGAAAUGUUGAAUAAUACCCCAUACGAUAGCAUUAUGAAAGCUCCGGCGGUAGAAGAUGGGCAUGCGUCCUAUUAGUUAGUUGGUAAGGUAACGGCUUACCAAGACUUCGAUAGGUAGGGGUCCUGAGAGGGAGACCCCCCACACUGGUACUGAGACACGGACCAGACUCCUACGGGAGGCAGCAGUGAGGAAUAUUGGACAAUGGAGGCAACUCUGAUCCAGCCAUGCCGCGUGCAGGAAGACUGCCUAUGGGUUGUAAACUGCUUUUAUACAGGAAGAAAUAUAUCUACGUGUAGGUAUUUGACGGUACU